GGAUGAAGAGUUACAUUGGAGGAAAAAAAUAUUGGACUUUUCAUGAUGAAACAAAGUCCAAGAAGUUAAUAGAUUUUUACAAAAAAAAAAUAUAUUCUUCCUUCAUAAACCACACUGAAUAAGUUGGUAGCAAAUUGAGACAUUAAAGCUGGAAUCAAUCCUCAAAUUUUUGAAGCUGUCAAAGAAGAGGUUGGCAAUUGGGAUGCUAAUAAAAAAUACUGCUCUAUCAUCUUCGAUGAAGUUGCAUUAGAAGCAGAGGUCUUCAUUAUGAUAAAAAUAAAGAUAAAAUUACAGGUUUAGUCCAAUUGGAUGAAGAAACCGUAGAGGGCUUUGCUGAUCACGCUCUUGCAGAAAUGGCAACAGCCAGUGGCUUUUUACUUUUGUAAAGGUGCAACAUCGGCUGCAAAGUUGAAAGUGAUUAUAAAGAAAGUGGUCAGUGAAGUAAUAAGUUGUGGACUGUUCCCACUGGCAGUUAUUUGUGACCAAGGAACAGCUUUUUGCUCUGCAUUGAAAGCUCUACAAUGGGAUACUAGACGGGUGCAAAUAAAAACUCGUAACCGUGUAACUGAUGGCGUCAUCAUAAUAAGUGAACACGUUAUUUUAAGUACAUUUGUAUUAUAUUUGACCCACCGCACCUUUUAAAAGGUGUACGAAACAAUUUUCUCACCAAAAAUAUAAAUUAUAAUGGCAAAAUAUCCAAAUGGAACGAUGUCAUUGAAAUCUAUAAAAAAGAUUGCAAUCAUGCUCAGA
Long non-coding RNA from Aricia agestis (brown argus), 750 nucleotides. RefSeq lists it as uncharacterized. The transcript is spliced from 3 exons. Lineage: Eukaryota; Metazoa; Arthropoda; Insecta; Lepidoptera; Lycaenidae. The record is from RefSeq and is a predicted model, not a curated record.